This 253-nucleotide ribosomal RNA is filed under the name uncultured bacterium. RNAcentral's name for it is "partial 16S ribosomal RNA". It matches the Rfam family "Bacterial small subunit ribosomal RNA", at positions 524 to 776 of the family's 1533-position model. The record is from RNAcentral.
UACAGAGGUCCCAAGCGUUGUUCGGAUUCACUGGGCGUAAAGGGUGCGUAGGCGGUCGGGUAAGUCUGACGUGAAAUCUUCAAGCUCAACUUGGAAACUGCGUCCGAUACUAUUCGGCUAGAGGAAUGGAGGGGAGACUGGAAUACUUGGUGUAGCAGUGAAAUGCGUAGAUAUCAAGUGGAACACCAGUGGCGAAGGCGAGUCUCUGGACAGUUCCUGACGCUGAGGCACGAAGGCCAGGGGAGCAAACGGG